CCUACGGGAGGCAGCAGUGAGGAAUAUUGGUCAAUGGCCGGAAGGCUGAACCAGCCAUGCCGCGUGAAGGUCAGUGCCCUAUGGGCGUUUAACUUCCUUUGUGCGGGAGCAAUAAUGGUCACGUGUGGCCAGACGAGAGUACCGUACGAAUUAGCAUCGGCUAACUCCGGGCCAGCAGCCGCGGUAAUACGGGGGAUGCAAGCGUUAUCCGGAUUUACUGGGUGUAAAGGGAGCGCAGGCGGCACGGUAAGCCUGAUGUGAAAGCCCGCGGCCCAACCGCGGGACUGCAGUGGGAACUACCGGGCUGGAGUGCCGGAGAGGUAGGCGGAAUUCCUGGUGUAGCGGUGAAAUGCGUAGAUAUUAGGAGGAACACCAGUGGCGAAGGCAGCCUACUGGACGGUGACUGACGCUGAGGCUCGAAAGCGUGGGGAGCAAACAGGAUUAGAUACCCCAGUAGUC
Molecule: ribosomal RNA, 459 nt
Filed under: uncultured bacterium
Lineage: Bacteria
Description: partial 16S ribosomal RNA
Rfam family: Bacterial small subunit ribosomal RNA
Source: RNAcentral